UGGAGAAUAACGCGUGGCUGGAGGAACAAUUGAAAAAUGGAUAAGAUAAUACAACAAAAGGAUAAUCAAAUUAUGAAGCUGCAGGCCCAAUUAUUGGAACAACACAAAAUAUUAGAUAACAACGAAACUAAGGAUGCUCAAAUUUUGAGUCUACAAGCUCAGCUAGGGGAAAAGAACAAAUUGGAACGGAACAGUUUCCAAACAGUGAAGGAGGUUUUUCCAAACUCAUCCCUAACUGAACAUGAGGAUGAGUUGGCAUUAGGCGAACACAGUCAGUUAUUCAGUCCACCUGACAGUGUGUUAAAGUUAAAUUCUCUUAGUGCUGCACUAAAAGAAUUGUUAGUAAUAAGUCCAUGCAGCGACGGAAGUGAACAAUUGUGGGACCGUAUUUGGGCUGAAAAAUGGGUGUGGUAAGGAAACCCAGAAAUAGCACGAGUUCAACGUAAAACAUGAAUUAGAAUUUUAGUGGGGGAUCAAGUCAAGUCUGGAAGUGUUACAGGAUGGAAGAGUGAGCCUACAGUUGAAAAACACUGAAAGCGCAUUACCAUUAAGAGUGUUGGUGAAGCUGGGUACUUAAAUGGCCCUAAAGAUGUUUCAUUUCGUUGGCAUUGCAGCGAUGAACAUCAUACAUGGACUUUUUAGGAAAGGAUUUUCAGCAUACUGGGAACACAACUAUCAACAAUGCAACAUUCUAGGGGUGCUAUUUUAUCAUUUAAGAGCCUUAUACAAUGAUUUUCAUCUGCAAUUUGUAUGGCCUUUCCCAAGCUUCUGCCAGAAAUUGAAUCUAUAAGUCAUGUAAGUCACAUGAGCAACAAUUGAGAUGCUUAAUGGUGUUUUUCUUUUCUCAGCAUAGGUUAAUAGUAACAUUGGAUCUGAAAAGAUUCUUGGUUGGGGCAAGACACUGAAUAAAUUGUAAUGAUUGAAUGGA
Daphnia carinata is the source of this 928-nucleotide RNA transcript. RefSeq lists it as uncharacterized. NCBI's taxonomy places the organism in Eukaryota, Metazoa, Arthropoda, Branchiopoda, Diplostraca, Daphniidae. The transcript is spliced from 7 exons. The record is from RefSeq and is a predicted model, not a curated record.